GCUGGUGUAGCUCAGUGGGAGAGCAUCAGCCCUCGCACUGAAGGAUCAUGGGUUCGAUUCCUGUCAAGGGCA
RNAcentral lists this transfer RNA (72 nucleotides) under Myotis brandtii (Brandt's bat). It matches the Rfam family "tRNA". From Rfam's summary of the family: Transfer RNA (tRNA) molecules are approximately 80 nucleotides in length. Lineage: Eukaryota; Metazoa; Chordata; Mammalia; Chiroptera; Vespertilionidae. The record is from Rfam by way of RNAcentral.